GGGCGGCCUGGUCUGUGACAGCGUGCCUGGGCACAGGCCAGCAGCCACGUCCGUCCUGCGGGUCCCCGCUUAGGUCUGCAGAACUAGGGAGAUUCGUCUGGUUCUGCUGCCGUGGUGACUGGCAGGUGGGAUGCCUCUCGUGAGCACCUUCCCCCCACCAGGAAAGGGGAUGAGUAAAAGCAGCCGGAGAAAGAACUUUUAUUUAAGGAAUGAAGGCCUGCCUUGGUAAAUUCUAGAGUCCCCGGGCCCCUUGGGACAUAGGCCUCCGGCGUGUGUUUUCUAGACCUUGAAAGAGUUAAUGGGAGAAAUGUUCAUGGUUUGUCUGUUUGCUCAGGCCCCACACUUAUCUGACCAAUCGCUGGGAGGGUAUAACUUUAGAAGUUUCGUUCUCUAUCCCACUUGGCUCAGAGUUCCAGAAAACCCUUGUUUAAGUAAUCACGAUAAUCCGUUCAGAUUCCUUAAGGCCUGAAGCCAUUUGGUGUUCCCACUUGGGUCCUGUAAGAAAAGACGAGGAGAGAGAAAGGCAGCAUAUAAUAAAGAGCGUUGUAACAAAGCCCCUCUGAAAAACUUUCCUCCCUGACGUGGCUGUGUUGUCCAGGUAAACUUCCUAAGUGCGUCUCCGAGCGUCUGAGAAAUGGUCCCGUCGGGCCUGGAUGUUGGCAAGGAAGGGAAAGAUCAAAGGGGGGCCGGGUGCAGGGGCCAUAUUUUCCCUUUUGGUGAAAACGUGAAGGGGGUACUUGACCUCCUUGGGGAGCCGGGGGAAACAUAUCUCAUCGCGGGGAGCCCGUCAGGGUGGCGGGCCUUUGAGGCACUACCGAUAGGACACCUGGCUGUUGGUAUCGGAAAGAAGGUGUGUGGGGGCACCUGGCUGGCUCAGUCGGUAGAGAAUGGGACUCUCCAUCUCGGGGUCGUGAGUUCGAGCCCCCUGUCGGGCUCGGAGCUUGCUAAAAAGAAAAAGAGAAGAAGAAGAAAGGUGCUGUGUGGUUUCUUACAGCCCCUUCAGCCAACUUGUUCCAUUGCUGUCUCUAAUGUGAUGUCUUAAAGGGGUCCCUCAGCCCUGGACCUGCCCUCUGAAGCCCAAGUCAGCCUGUCAUGGAAAAGCGCCCUGCCACCCCCUCCCUCUUUAGCCACGCUGUCCCUGAUCUGGGCCCGAGGGCCUCAGACAUCCAGGCCCUUUAUGCAACCCAGCCUCCGUCAUUCCCAAGAGGAUUCUUUCCCCCUAAAGAAAUUCUUCGCUGAGCUAUCACAGUAGGCUGGCCAGACCUGUCCCCAUUUCUGGUGACAUUCUCCAGGGUUUUGCUUAGUCGUUUAUACACCAUUCCCAGAGAAGCUGCAGGCGGAAGUGAAAGAAUGCUUGGUUGACUUUUUGUAAGUCUUUUCUAGUCUGUUCUGCGGCUGAUCUAGCCCUACACGCUUAGGCAGGCCUGUUUCCCUCUCCGCGCCCGGGUGUGGGGAGAGAUGAGUUCAAAGGGCCUUUUCAGUUCAGUCUUUCUGACAAUUUCUUUGACAAGGCUGGAAGUAGCUAGGGUUCUAAUCCUCAGGUCUGGAUACAAGGAAAAGGCAGUUUUUUGUUUGAUUGGGAGGUUUUGGUGUUUCUGGCUUCUUUGCCUGUCCAACGUCUGGUCCCCCUUCUAGAUCCAGAACCCACACUGUGUUUGGAGAAACCAUUCCUCUCUGACUCUCAGUCCAGGGGCUUGGUGGCAGGGGUCUGACUCCAUCUCCUGGCUGCAGCAGUGGGACGCACGGAGCAUUUGAACCUGUCCCCUCAUCCCACUCUGGCCACACUGAUUGGUUCAGAGGUUGGUCUGUGAGCCGAGUGUGUCCCAGAGAGACCGUUGCAGAACUUGCUGUUUCUCGCGGAGAAGAGAAUCACGCUUUGUCAGAACCUUCAUUGUCUGAGCCCCUGGAUCCCACUGAACCUGAAGCCAGCCCUGCCCCAGGAUAUUUCAGUUAUGUGUGCCAAUAAAUCCCUUUCCUUUGCUGAAAUCACCUUGACCUGGGUUUUCUGUCGUUUGAUUUCCCUGCCUCCCUAGGGAACGGAGAGGUCACUACCCCCAGGCAGGUUCCCAGAAGUUAGAUCCAGGUGGUACAGAGCCAGAGUGGGAACCCUGAUCUCUCUCCUGCCACACUGCUUGGCCCAACGAGCUUCGUCAUCAUUUUAGUUUCCUUUCUGUGGCCUCUUUGCACGUUUCCAAGGACCCAUCCGGCAAGUCAACCUAGAACGCUGGGGCAUCUCCAUCCUGGUUGGUUGCAGGGGAGAGUGUUUGCUUUCAUUUCUGGCAGAGGCUGUUCAGGAUUUCACCCCUCCUAAGCUGACCUCCCAAGAUCAACUUCCUUUCGUUUGGUUUUCCGUUUUGUUUUCUUGCCCUCGUUCCAAGGACAUUUUCUUGACUCCCAUCCAUUCCUUUAAUCUGAUCUUCUAUAUUCCACUUUCAAGACACUUCCCAGGCCUGGGUCUGGAGACCAAGUGCCUUGUAAUUAAUAGUUUGUUGUGGCGUAAACGACCUGCCUGCUUCCCCUUGCCCACCAGACCUCGGCACUUUGUCUCCCUUCUUUCGAGCAGCUUCUAGGGCCUCGAGUCUUUCAGGAAGCCUUAUCAAUAUCUGAGAAAGAGGUGGCCAUCUUCCCUGGCUCUGGCCCAGAUAAAGUAGUGUGGCCCCUCACCCCCGCCUACCCCAGCGCGGCCAGCCCUGUCACAGCAUAAAAUACUGAGAGCCCUGGACCAGGAGAUAAGAGACCCGGUAUCAGGCAAAUAUUCCAGUUAGUCUCACUCACACCCGUUCCGACUCCCUUCUGCUUUCUCACGCUCUACCACAGAGGUGAGAUAGUGAAAUUCUCAAAUUGCUAGGUUACUUUAGAGAGGCUGGUGGCCAUGUGACUCAGUCCUGGCCAACGAGAGGUAAGCAGAAAUCUCCGGGAAGGGUUUCCCUUCCUAAACAGAUAAACAUUUUCUGGAAGAGAGAACACCUUUAAUCCUUGUCUUUUUUUUUUUUUUUUUUUCCCCUGCCUGGAAUACAGAUACUGUGCCUGGAGGUGCAGCAGCCAUCUUGGGACCAUGAGGAUGAACCCCACAAGCAGUGGACAGCAGAGUAGGAGGAUAGAGGGGUCUGUGAUAACCUAAGUAGCUGCAUGAGCCCUGGAUUCCGUAUGUUUCUCUGGAUUUUUCCUACAAGAGAAAAAGAAACUCCUUACUCAAGCCACUGGGUGGUUAUGCGGCUGUGAUAAGCAAGAUCCUACGUAAUUGGCUCUACCACGGAGAACUGAUCCACUGAAUGGGAACGAUUCUAGAAGAGACGUAAAACCCGGUGAUGACUUAAUCCACGACAAACCAAAUAACCAAAUAGCAGAUAUAGGAAUGAUUAUUUAAUAAAUGCCGUGCGCACAAUUUAUUGGUUGGUUUAUUUAUUUUGAGACCCCGAGAGAGGGUGCGUACGAGCCGGGGAGGAGCGGAGAGAGAAUCGCAAGCCGGCCCCUCGCUGUCGGCGCGGGGCUUGAACCCCGGACCGUGAGAUCGUGACCUGAGCCGAAAUCAAGAGCGGGACGCUUCACCGACUGAGCCGCCCAGAUGCCUCUCGGGGCUCUGGGCUUAAGCAGGACCUGGAGCGGUUGUAAUAAUUAUUGGUAGCACCCAGCUGCAUAACAAAUGACCCCCAAAUCCCCGU
Long non-coding RNA from Prionailurus viverrinus (fishing cat), 3662 nucleotides. RefSeq lists it as uncharacterized. The record is from RefSeq and is a predicted model, not a curated record. NCBI's taxonomy places the organism in Eukaryota, Metazoa, Chordata, Mammalia, Carnivora, Felidae. The transcript is spliced from 3 exons.